UAAACUGACAGUUUAAGGCGAGCUGUGCUGAAUUUGGACUUGUGCCACAAACACUGCGCACUUCCUGUGACAAACCAUUUUCAAGCCAGGUUCAUUUUUGAU
Long non-coding RNA from Thalassophryne amazonica, 102 nucleotides. RefSeq lists it as uncharacterized. The transcript has 3 exons. NCBI's taxonomy places the organism in Eukaryota, Metazoa, Chordata, Actinopteri, Batrachoidiformes, Batrachoididae. The record is from RefSeq and is a predicted model, not a curated record.